UACAGAGGUCCCAAGCGUUGUUCGGAUUCGCUGGGCGUAAAGGGUGCGUAGGUGGUGAGGUAAGUCGGAUGUGAAAUCUCCGAGCUCAACUCGGAAAUGGCAUUGGAAACUACCUUGCUCGAGGGUUGGAGGGGGGACUGGAAUGCUUGGUGUAGCAGUGAAAUGCGUAGAUAUCAAGCGGAACACCAGUGGCGAAGGCGAGUCCCUGGACAACUCCUGACACUGAGGCACGAAAGCUAGGGGAGCAAACAGG
RNAcentral lists this ribosomal RNA (253 nucleotides) under uncultured bacterium. RNAcentral's name for it is "partial 16S ribosomal RNA". It matches the Rfam family "Bacterial small subunit ribosomal RNA", at positions 524 to 776 of the family's 1533-position model. The record is from RNAcentral.